UCUGGAGGCUGACGCUGAUUCCCUGAUCGUGAGCAGCUCACGCCUGGAGCUGCAGCGCGGUCCAGCUGCCAGGGACACACUGCCCUCUCUUGGAGAUCCCACUCAGAAGCCAGGCUCCAAAAGCAGCCCUGUGGAAGGAUGCUGAAGACCAAAGCGCUGUUGGCAUCUCCCAAAAACCAAAUUUCUGCCCAAGAGAAAAGUCAGGGACAACAAGCAACGCUGCCUGAUGUAUUGCUUUGAAGAAAGAAGAGCGAAUGUCUGGGGGAAGAGCUGCGGUUAAGUACGAAGGGAGCGCAGGAACGGAGCGCACAAAAGAGAUGCGCACAAUACAUCUCCUCUGUUGGUUGACAACCCUCUGCUAUUUCGGGAAUGCUCAUCCGCAGGUGGAAUUGGAUUUGUGCUCCCAUGACUGACAACACAACUCACUCGACUCCGCUCCAUCCUGGCCUGUGGCAGCUGCUGCUAUUUUGAGCUCCGUGCCGUUCCAGCGCUGCCGAACGGUAUUGUUCCAAAGGCGAGAAUGUUUCCCUAACAUGAGAUUUUUCCCAUUUUUAACCGAAAUCAGGGGGUUUUAAGAACUUUCGCAAGCGGGGUGCAGAACCCUCGGCAGCAAAGCCAGGCUCGACCUGCACGAGUGGGCUUUUGGAAGCAAGCCCCAGUGCUGCUGAGACCAUCACCACAAAACGAGACGCAGCCCUGCAGCCCGCUGGAACGGGCUGAGCACCCCGACCUGCGCCGUCACCACGGUCCUUCGGCAACGAGCAGGAAAGCUUGCGGCGUCCCCUCCGUCCUGACAAGGGCCUUGCCUUCUGGCAGCAGGCUGAUAACGGAGUCCUUCAGAAGGCACCGCCGCCGCCAGCCUGCGCUGGACCCGUCCCCAGAAGCAUCCGUGAACGAAGGAGAGAGAAAAACACGAUGCAACACUGAGCGGAUAACACGCU
Long non-coding RNA from Oxyura jamaicensis (ruddy duck), 941 nucleotides. RefSeq lists it as uncharacterized. NCBI's taxonomy places the organism in Eukaryota, Metazoa, Chordata, Aves, Anseriformes, Anatidae. The record is from RefSeq and is a predicted model, not a curated record. The transcript is spliced from 2 exons.